Molecule: ribosomal RNA, 493 nt
Filed under: uncultured bacterium
Lineage: Bacteria
Description: bacterial SSU rRNA
Rfam family: Bacterial small subunit ribosomal RNA
Source: RNAcentral
GAUGAACGCUAGCGGCAGGCCUAAUACAUGCAAGUCGUACGGCAACACAGUUGCGAGCAAUCGCAACCGGUGGCGAGUGGCGCACGGGUGAGUAACGCGUAUGUAACCCUACCCUUCUCCGGGACAUAACUCCGCGAAAGCGGUGCUAAUAUCCCAUACCAACUCAUCAAGACAUCUUCUUGAGUUGAAAGCAGCAAUGCGGUGAAGGAUGGGCAUGCGUCCCAUUAGCUGGUUGGUGAGGUAAUGGCCCACCAAGGCUACGAUGGGUAGGGGUUCUGAGAGGAAAGCCCCCCACACUGGUACUGAGACACGGACCAGACUCCUACGGGAGGCAGCAGUAAGGAAUAUUGGGCAAUGGUCGAAAGACUGACCCAGCCAUGCCGCGUGCAGGAUGAAGGCCCUAUGGGUUGUAAACUGCUUUUAGCCGGGAAUAAACACCCGUUUUAUAACGGGCCCGAAGGUACCGGCUGAAUAAGCAUCGGCUAACUCCGUG